This 253-nucleotide ribosomal RNA is filed under the name uncultured bacterium. RNAcentral's name for it is "partial 16S ribosomal RNA". It matches the Rfam family "Bacterial small subunit ribosomal RNA", at positions 524 to 776 of the family's 1533-position model. The record is from RNAcentral.
UACGUAGGGUGCGAGCGUUGUCCGGAAUUAUUGGGCGUAAAGAGCUUGUAGGCGGGUUGUCGCGUCUGCCGUGAAAGCCCAGGGCUUAACCCUGGGUCUGCGGUGGGUACGGGCAGACUAGAGUGUGGUAGGGGAGACUGGAAUUCCUGGUGUAGCGGUGAAAUGCGCAGAUAUCAGGAGGAACACCGGUGGCGAAGGCGGGUCUCUGGGCCGAUACUGACGCUGAGGAGCGAAAGCGUGGGGAGCAAACAGG